CAGUCGCCGCGGGAAUACGAAGGGGGCUAGCGUUGCUCGGAAUGACUGGGCGUAAAGGGCGCGUAGGCGGCGAUCAAAGUCAGGCGUGAAAUUCCUGGGCUCAACCUGGGGGCUGCGCUUGAUACUUGGUUGCUUGAGUGGGGAAGAGGGUCGUGGAAUUCCCAGUGUAGAGGUGAAAUUCGUAGAUAUUGGGAAGAACACCGGUGGCGAAGGCGGCGACCUGGUCCUUGACUGACGCUGAGGCGCGAAAGCGUGGGGAGCAAACAGGAUUAGAUACCCCAGUAGUCCCUGUCUCUUAUAC
Molecule: ribosomal RNA, 301 nt
Filed under: uncultured bacterium
Lineage: Bacteria
Description: partial 16S ribosomal RNA
Rfam family: Bacterial small subunit ribosomal RNA
Source: RNAcentral